RNAcentral lists this ribosomal RNA (383 nucleotides) under uncultured eukaryote. Its description in RNAcentral is "partial 18S ribosomal RNA". It matches the Rfam family "Eukaryotic small subunit ribosomal RNA", at positions 592 to 976 of the family's 1831-position model. The record is from RNAcentral.
CAAUAGCGUAUAUUAAAGUUGUUGCAGUUAAAAAGCUCGUAGUUGGAUUUCUGGUAGGAGUGACCGUUCCGAACUUGAUUGUUCGUGUAUUGUGUUUUCUCCAGCCAUCCUUGUGGAGAACUUUUCUUGCAUUAAUUUGUAGGGAUUGGGACCCGCAUCGUUUACUGUGAAAAAAUUAGAGUGUUUAAAGCAGGCAAUCGCCUGAAUACAUUAGCAUGGAAUAAUAAGAUAGGACUUUGGUACUAUUUUGUUGGUUUGCAUACCAAAUUAAUGAUCAACAGGAACAGUUUGAGGAUAUUCGUAUGAACAUGUCAGAGGUGAAAUUCUUGGAUUUUGAUCAGACGAACUACUGCGAAAGCAUUUAUCAAGGAUGUUUUCAUUAA